CGUAGUGUUUGCAUGCGCGGAUCGUUGUUAAUUGUAGACGCGUACCUAUUUGAAAUAAUAUAAUCGUCGAAUCAUUCCCAUAGGUGUUCGCCGAAAACGUUUGGUUUAUUAUUGAUAGUGAACCAACGAAGUAAGUACCGAUCUCCAGCGUAUGAAUGGUAUUUACGGCCGGGGCACUUACCCACACACGACGAUCUGACUGGUGAAUUUCUUGAAAGA
This is a non-coding RNA of Cinara cedri, 219 nucleotides long. The record is from the annotation of a GenBank genome assembly. NCBI's taxonomy places the organism in Eukaryota, Metazoa, Arthropoda, Insecta, Hemiptera, Aphididae.